RNAcentral lists this ribosomal RNA (302 nucleotides) under uncultured bacterium. RNAcentral describes it as "partial 16S ribosomal RNA". It matches the Rfam family "Bacterial small subunit ribosomal RNA", at positions 508 to 807 of the family's 1533-position model. The record is from RNAcentral.
GCAGCCGCCGCGGGAAUACAGAGGGUGCGAGCGUUAAUCGGAUUUACUGGGCGUAAAGCGUGCGUAGGCGGCUUUUUAAGUCGGAUGUGAAAUCCCUGAGCUUAACUUAGGAAUUGCAUUCGAUACUGGGAAGCUAGAGUAUGGGAGAGGAUGGUAGAAUUCCAGGUGUAGCGGUGAAAUGCGUAGAGAUCUGGAGGAAUACCGAUGGCGAAGGCAGCCAUCUGGCCUAAUACUGACGCUGAGGUACGAAAGCAUGGGGAGCAAACAGGAUUAGAUACCCCGGUAGUCCCUGUCUCUUAUAC